RNAcentral lists this ribosomal RNA (755 nucleotides) under uncultured Glomus. RNAcentral describes it as "SSU rRNA". It matches the Rfam family "Eukaryotic small subunit ribosomal RNA", at positions 338 to 1092 of the family's 1831-position model. The record is from RNAcentral. Lineage: Eukaryota; Fungi; Glomeromycota; Glomeromycetes; Glomerales; Glomeraceae.
GGCCUACCAUGGUGGUAACGGGUAACGGGGUGUUAGGGCACGACACCGGAGAGGGAGCCUGAGAAACGGCUACCACAUCCAAGGAUGGCAGCAGGCGCGCAAAUUACCCAAUCCCGACACGGGGAGGUAGUGACAAUAAAUAACAAUACGGGGUUCUUUCGGAUCUCGUAAUUGGAAUGAGUACAAUUUAAAUCUCUUAACGAGGAACAAUUGGAGGGCAAGUCUGGUGCCAGCAGCCGCGGUAAUUCCAGCUCCAAUAGCGUAUAUUAAAGUUGUUGCAGUUAAAAAGCUCGUAGUUGAAUUUCGGGGUUAGUAGGUUGGUCAUGCCUCUGGUAUGUACUGGUCUCACUGAUUCCUCCUUCCUGAUGAACCGUAAUGCCAUUAAUUUGGUGUUGCGGGGAAUUUGGACUGUUACUUUGAAAAAAUUAGAGUGUUUAAAGCAAGCUAACGCUUGAAUACAUUAGCAUGGAAUAAUGAAAUAGGACGUUCGAUCCUAUUUUGUUGGUUUCUAGGAUUGACGUAAUGAUUAAUAGGGAUAGUUGGGGGCAUUAGUAUUCAAUUGUCAGAGGUGAAAUUCUUGGAUUUAUUGAAGACUAACUACUGCGAAAGCAUUUGCCAAGGAUGUUUUCAUUAAUCAAGAACGAAAGUUAGGGGNAUCGAAGACGAUCAGAUACCGUCGUAGUCUUAACCAUAANCUAUGCCGACUAGGGAUCGGAUGAUGUUAAUUUUUUAAUGACUCNUUUCGGCGCCUUACG